This is a long non-coding RNA of Oryzias melastigma (Indian medaka), 1515 nucleotides long. RefSeq lists it as uncharacterized. The record is from RefSeq and is a predicted model, not a curated record. Lineage: Eukaryota; Metazoa; Chordata; Actinopteri; Beloniformes; Adrianichthyidae. The transcript has 2 exons.
GUGGGUUGCUAUGAGACAUGCACUUCUUUGUUUUUACUUGGGAUGGGUAUCGAACCACAACUCUGCCACGCUGCACCCAAUAUCAUAUAAAAAUUGUGGCAUUUUGUUGCAGGCCCAGAUAAAAACAAAUGCAGCAAUGCAGCUGCGCAGUGGGUCAUAGAUGGAGCUUCAACUUAAAAAAGAUCGUGAAAAAUUGUUCUUGUAUGGUCUUAGGAAAUAUCACGAUAUGUACCGUAUCAUGAUACGAUACAUAUCACAGUAUAUCCUAAGACUAUACAUAAAGUAAAAUAAGAUGCAUAUUGCGAUAUGUACCGUAUUACCUCAUGCCAAUACACACCCAUAGUUUAAACGCUGCAGCAGAAAAGAUGUCCGCCGCUGCUGUGAACUUCUCAGUACAGAAAGAAGCUGUUCGAUGCUGGAUUUAUCAUUACCUAGUUGACAUAGUUAGGUUAUAUUUGUGUAAUUGUAAAAAAUAAUGUCAAUUAUAAAGUUGUAUUGUUUUUAUUUUAAUAUUUUUCUCUUUUUUUUUUAAACAGAGUUUGGAAUAUAGUCACGUUCGUCAGAUCUUUUAGUUGAUUUGGGCACUAGAUGUCCCUGUUGUGGAACACUGAACCAAAAUUUGAAGGUUUUUGGGGGCAAAAUUAGUAAAUACCUGCUCAAUACUAGUUUUCUUUUUUUUUUUAGCUAAAUGCUGUAAUUGCAUAUCUGAAAUGGACCGGUGAACCAUCCGGGGUGUACCCCACCAUCUUCCUUCAGUAGCUGCUUCCAGUUUAGAAAACGGAUGGAUAGAUGGAUUGUUUUUGUAUUACAGGCUGCUGUGGCUCCGCCCUCUUCGGUACUGCCCUCUUCCUCCUGAACGGGCACACAGUUUUUAUUUGUGUUUAUAAAAGCCUUCUUUUGUGUUUAAUGGAUUAAUUUGUUUGAUGUACUAAAGAUUCUUCUCAACAUUUCAGCUUUGCUUUGGAUCAUCUGUGUUUUCGACUUCACAUGAACAAAGAAGGAGAACUAAAAAACAUGUUUUUGAGAAGAUGAGGAGAAAACCAAACCAUUACUUUAGGUUAUAAUCAGACUGGACACAUUUGGUUUUAUUCAAAGUGAGUCACAAUUCAUUUUGCCUGAUAAUCUGGGACACUGAAUACUGAAUACAUCUGAUCAGACCCUGGUCCAGUACCAGAAACCGCUUUUGGAUGGUCUUUUCCAGUCAGACUGAGCUCCCGUCCGCUCUGAGUUUUCUAAAAAAACUAGUGUGCAUUGAAGCUCACUAGAUUGCAAAAACAAGGUAUUGCGUUAGAGCACAUUUUCAUGUGAAAAAAGCAAAGUGACAUUCAUUUUUUAUAAACCAUCUAAGUUGUUAUCAUCAGAAUCCAGUGGAAUCAUAAAUCGUCUUCAUAAUUUUCACAUUUAUUAGAUUUUUACUUUAGGAAAUCAGUGACCAAACUAUAACACUGUAAAAACAGCCCUCUAAAAAUAAGUAAAAAAUUUUUAACAUUUGAAAACAAAUUAUUUAAAAUAAGU